Microcebus murinus (gray mouse lemur) is the source of this 1541-nucleotide non-coding RNA. The record is from RefSeq and is a predicted model, not a curated record. NCBI's taxonomy places the organism in Eukaryota, Metazoa, Chordata, Mammalia, Primates, Cheirogaleidae.
UGUUGCCGCUCUACCUAGAAUGGCUCCCCUUAGAGAUGUGGGCAAGAAGGAAGGAAUUAGUCGAUAUCUGAAAUACCAGAGAUUGGCAUAGAAAAUCACUCCACAUGUGUCAACCAAACCAUUUGAAAGACUUAGAAGGUCUUUUUGAGGAAGCAGAGUGAUUUGUGAAGAGGAAUUCUUUAUCCUGAUAUAAGGAAAGCAGAAAAUAAGGACUACAAUAUUAUCAGUGCCUCUGGAUUUGAUCUCUUCCUUCUGCCAUUUUUCAUCCAUGACACCACUGAACACACGACCUUCACCUUUCUCUUCCUGUACAGACUCCCUUUCUGACAAUAAUCUUCUAGCUGGCUUCCCUGCAGCCAACUCUCCCUCUUCUAAUUUGGUCCAUGCACAGGGAGAGUAUAUUAUUUUACUUAAAUGUGAUGCUUGAGCCCGUACUUCCACCUCCUAGAACUGAGUUAUGACUUCUAAUUAAUUCCACGUGACAAGUAAAUAUUGAACAUACUGUGCAAGAUGCUUGGAGAAUAAAAACGUGAACAAGAUACCUAUCCUGCCCUUCGGAAAUGUACAGUCUAAAAGGAGUUUAUGAGUUAUAACCAACUCUCUGUAAUAUAAAGGAGAACACAGUGUCCUAAGAGAGUGAUGCUAUGUGGAACAACUAGGCUUAGAAAAUUCCUGAAAACUUAACAAUUGCGACCCUGCAGCAGGUACAAGGAGUGCACUGCUGGACAGACAGCUAUGAAAAUUGGGAUUCUAAAUCGGGGGAGGAACAGAUCUCAAGGAGAGGCCCAUUGGGUUCUGGAGUUGAGCCAUGAAGCGUAUGUAGGAUUUGGCCUCUGGAUAUUGGGGAAGCAUAUUUUGAGAGAAAAAUCGGGAAGGGUCUCUGAGGACAGAAAGCUUGGGGCCUGAAUGGAAGUAAUCAGUCGAUUGUUUGUUUACAUGUGAAUCCGUCUACUGGCCUCAUGCAGCACUAGCUGGCAUCUCCAGACACACCCAUUUUGAACCAGUGACAAUGAUGACAACAAUAAUAAUAAGGACGGCUAAUAAUUGCUGGAUGAUUGCUUGGGGCCAGGUACUGUUCUAACCGAGGAACCUGUGUCAUCCCUUGCAUGGACCUUCCCAGUUCCUUGUUUGCCGUGUCACUGAGCAGCCGCUGCUCCGUCUCUGGGUGUGGCCACUCCUCCCUGGGCUCCCACAGCGACUACCACUCACCACUGUUCCCACGCUACAGAGCAAGCUGCCAUUUGUCACCAAGCUUGCAAAAGCACCUUACGCAGAGUGAAGAACUACUUCUCUGUAUCCAUGAUUCGGACGUGUGAAAACAAAGUGCAGACGACUAUAUCUUUCAAGCAAGAAAACACUCAAAAGGCGAAUAUUCUUUCCCUUCUCCAAUGAGACAUACUGAUUACAUCAACAUUAUUUUCACGUGAAAGAUGAGCCCAGUUGCUUGUUGAAGGGGAACAAAAGGUACUGAAGAGAAGGACUCUUGUGUUCAUCUAAUCUCUUUUUGGCAUAGUUCGAACUCCAUUAAAGAUUCAUUAAAG